AUUAACGCUAGCGGCAGGCAUAAUACAUGCAAGUUGAACGGCAGCACAGGUAGCAAUACUGGGUGGCGAGUGGCGCACGGGUGCGUAACACGUAUGCAACCUACCCUAUACAGGCGAAUAACCUUUAGAAAUGAGGGCUAAUACGCCGUAGUAUUACAGAUGGGCAUCUAUUUGUAAUUAAAGAUUUAUCGGUAUAGGAUGGGCAUGCGCCCCAUUAGUUAGUUGGUAAGGUAACGGCUUACCAAGACGAUGAUGGGUAGGGG
This 263-nucleotide ribosomal RNA is filed under the name uncultured bacterium. RNAcentral describes it as "partial 16S ribosomal RNA". It matches the Rfam family "Bacterial small subunit ribosomal RNA", at positions 29 to 289 of the family's 1533-position model. The record is from RNAcentral.